Molecule: ribosomal RNA, 433 nt
Filed under: uncultured bacterium
Lineage: Bacteria
Description: partial 16S ribosomal RNA
Rfam family: Bacterial small subunit ribosomal RNA
Source: RNAcentral
AACGAACGCUGGCGGCAGGCCUAACACAUGCAAGUCGAGCGCGCCCUUCGGGGUGAGCGGCGGAAGGGUGAGUAACGCGUGGGAACGUGCCCUUUUCUACGGAAUAGCCUCGGGAAACUGAGAGUAAUACCGUAUACGCCCUUUGGGGGAAAGAUUUAUCGGAAAAGGAUCGGCCCGCGUUGGAUUAGGUAGUUGGUGGGGUAAUGGCCUACCAAGCCGACGCUCCUUAGCUGGUUUGAGAGGAUGAUCAGCCACACUGGGACUGAGACACGGCCCAGACUCCUACGGGAGGCAGCAGUGGGGAAUCUUAGACAAUGGGGGCAACCCUGAUCUAGCCAUGCCGCGUGAGUGAUGAAGGCCUUAGGGUUGUAAAGCUCUUUCAGCUGGGAAGAUAAUGACGGUACCAGCAGAAGAAGCCCCGGCUAACUCCGUG